Molecule: non-coding RNA, 125 nt
Organism: Triticum urartu
Lineage: Eukaryota; Viridiplantae; Streptophyta; Magnoliopsida; Poales; Poaceae
Source: Rfam
UUUAUACACCCUCUGUCUGGAAAUACUUGUGGGGGAAAUAGAUAAAAAUGAAUGUAUCAAAAACUAAAAUACGUCUAGAUACAUCCAUUUCUUCAACAAGUAUUUUCGGACGGAGGUAGUAUUUU